CGCGGGAAUUCGAUUCCUACGGGAGGCAGCAGUGGGGAAUAUUCGGCAAUGGGGGAAACCCUGACCGAGCAACGCCGCGUGAGUGAAGAAGUUUUUCGGAAUGUAAAGCUCUGUCAUGAGGGAAGAAAGCUAUGUUAUUUAAGAGAUGAGAUAGUUGACGGUACCUGAUAAGAAAGCUCCGGCUAACUACGUGCCAGCAGCCGCGGUAAUACGCAGGGAGCGAGCGUUGUCCGGAAUUAUUGGGCGUAAAGGGCGCGUAGGCGGUCAGACAAGUCAAAUGUGAAAUACAGCGGCUCAACCGUUGGGGUGCGUUUGAAACUGUAGGGCUUGAGUACAGGAGAGGAGAGUGGAAUUCCUGGUGUAGUGGUGGAAUGCGUAGAUAUCAGGAAGAACAUCGGUGGCGAAGGCGGCUCUCUGGCCUUGUACUGACGCUGAGGCGCGAAAGCGUGGGGAGCAAACGGGAUUAGAUACCCCGGUAGUCCACGCCGUAAACGAUGGAUACUAGGUGUAGGUGGUUAGACUCCAUCUGUGCCGCAGUUAACGCAAUAAGUAUCCCGCCUGGGGAGUACGGUCGCAAGAUUGAAACUCAAAGGAAUUGACGGA
RNAcentral lists this ribosomal RNA (603 nucleotides) under uncultured bacterium. RNAcentral describes it as "bacterial SSU rRNA". It matches the Rfam family "Bacterial small subunit ribosomal RNA", at positions 323 to 917 of the family's 1533-position model. The record is from RNAcentral.